UCCCGAGUAAGCUCAUAGGAAGAGCUUUGGAAGAGACAAGGUUGCAGGUUCGAGUCCUGCCUCGGGAA
Molecule: transfer RNA, 68 nt
Filed under: Flavobacterium psychrophilum
Lineage: Bacteria; Pseudomonadati; Bacteroidota; Flavobacteriia; Flavobacteriales; Flavobacteriaceae
Description: tRNA-Ser (AGA) (tRNA-Ser-AGA-1-1)
Rfam family: tRNA
About the family: Transfer RNA (tRNA) molecules are approximately 80 nucleotides in length. Their secondary structure includes four short double-helical elements and three loops (D, anti-codon, and T loops). Further hydrogen bonds mediate the characteristic L-shaped molecular structure. tRNAs have two regions of fundamental functional importance: the anti-codon, which is responsible for specific mRNA codon recognition, and the 3' end, to which the tRNAs corresponding amino acid is attached (by aminoacyl-tRNA synthetases). tRNAs cope with the degeneracy of the genetic code in two manners: having more than one tRNA (with a specific anti-codon) for a particular amino acid; and 'wobble' base-pairing, i.e. permitting non-standard base-pairing at the 3rd anti-codon position.
Source: RNAcentral